Molecule: ribosomal RNA, 396 nt
Filed under: uncultured soil bacterium
Lineage: Bacteria
Description: bacterial SSU rRNA
Rfam family: Bacterial small subunit ribosomal RNA
Source: RNAcentral
CAAGGCUUGACAUGGAUUCGCACCAGCCGUAAUGGGCUGUUCCUUCGGGACGGAUUCACAGGUGCUGCAUGGCUGUCGUCAGCUCGUGUCGUGAGAUGUUGGGUUAAGUCCCGCAACGAGCGCAACCCUCGCCCUUAGUUGCCAUCAUUUAGUUGGGCACUCUAGGGGGACUGCCGGUGAUAAGCCGGAGGAAGGUGGGGAUGACGUCAAGUCCUCAUGGCCCUUACGGGCUGGGCUACACACGUGCUACAAUGGCGGUGACAGAGGGAUGCAAAGGGGCGACCCUUCGCAAAUCUCAAAAAACCGUCUCAGUUCGGAUUGGGGUCUGCAACUCGACCCCAUGAAGUUGGAAUCGCUAGUAAUCGCAGAUCAGCACGCUGCGGUGAAUACGUUCCC